Non-coding RNA from Pelobates cultripes (western spadefoot toad), 396 nucleotides. Lineage: Eukaryota; Metazoa; Chordata; Amphibia; Anura; Pelobatidae. The record is from the annotation of a GenBank genome assembly.
UCACUUUUAGUAGAGCUUAAUCCAGCUCUGGUGUGGAUGGCUUGCAGCGGUAUUAUCCCCGCUUAUAGGAUAUAUGGUGAGCUUCCUCUUCAGUAUGAUGACCGGCAACCAGGUGGAAGAUGAAACGAAAAAGCAAUAAUAGUGCAAUAUGUCCCAAAAAGUAGAUAAAAGGUAUGAAAAAUAUAAAAGGUACACUCACAUUUAAUAGAGCUUAUACUAGCUCUAGUGUAGUAGGCAUGCAACGGUAUGAUCCCCCGUAUCUGGGAUAUGCGGUGAGCGUUCGUUAGUACAGUUCUUUAGGGUGGUAGCAGGAGCUCAGGAAGAAGAUAAUAAAACAGCAAUAGUGCUCUCAGUAAAAUAAUGCUGAUUAAUAAAAUAAAAUAAAAUAUACUCACA